UAUCUCUGUAGAGUCUGCAUAUCAAUAAGCGGAGGAAAAGAAACUAACUAGGAUUCCCUUAGUAACGGCGAGUGAAGCGGGAAGAGCUCAAAUUUGAAAUCUUCAAGGUUCUACCUUGACGAAUUGUAGUUUAAAGAAGUGUUUUCUGUUGGAGUUUUGGUAAAAGUUCUUUGGAAUAGGACAUCAUAGAGGGUGAGAAUCCCGUAUUUGACCAUUUCUUCCAGCUGUGUGAUACACUUUCAAAGAGUCGGAUUGUUUGGGAAUGCAGUCCAAAAUGGGUGGUAAAUUUCAUCUAAAGCUAAAUAUUGGCGAGAGACCGAUAGCGAACAAGUACCGUGAGGGAAAGAUGAAAAGAACUUUGAAAAGAGAGUUAAACAGUACGUGAAAUUGUCAAAAGGGAAGCGUUUGACACCAGUGUUGUUUUCUCGAAAAUCAAUUAAAAAUGGCCGGAUUUUGUGUUGUAUUGACUUUAUCAGCUUUCUGCACACUUUUUCUUGUCUUUUUUACUGCACUUUUCGUUUAACAAGUCAACAUCAAUUUCUUUUGUUGUAAAGAGUCAUUGGAAGGUGGCUUCCACUUCGGUGAAAGUGUUUAUAGCCUUUGACCUCUGCAAUCGGAGAGAUUGAGGUCUGCAGCGUAGAUCCUUCGGGGUUAGAUACAUUUGUGCUAAGUUAUAAUUUUUUCAUAGACAACAUGUUGACUAUAAUUAAUCAUGUAGCUUACUCGCUUAUGCUAUUUUACCUACGCUUAGGAUGUUGACGCAUGAGAUAUACGC
Molecule: ribosomal RNA, 775 nt
Filed under: uncultured Neocallimastigales
Lineage: Eukaryota; Fungi; Neocallimastigomycota; Neocallimastigomycetes; Neocallimastigales
Description: partial large subunit ribosomal RNA
Rfam family: Eukaryotic large subunit ribosomal RNA
Source: RNAcentral